AUACAUACUUCCCCUUCUACUGCAACUUUAAUUUUAGUAUUUAGACGCUCAAAAUUCAUACCCUCCGGUUGUUGUACUUGAGUUGCUUCUUUAAAGCUGAUGUCGUUUGUUGCACUACAUAUCUGUUUAUGCUGCUGUUUCCAGACAUCAGAGGUGAUCCUUACAUCAACCUCAACUGUAAAGGAUGAAUGUGGGAAGCCCCAACUGAAGUUGUGUGGAAGAUAAGAAGACUUGUUGGACAAUGUUUAAUAAAAUUCCAACCUUUAAAUUUACCUACUAUUAGAGAAUGUAAAAAUUGAAGAGUGAGUCAAUCAUGUCUAAAUGACUAAAACCAAAGAGAGAAAGCAAAGGAUGUUGAGUUACAGUAGUUCACAACAAUGCCAUGGCCUUAUCUAAUCUCUCAUAAAUUUAGUUCAUUGCAUGUAAAUGUAUUUCUAUAUUUUAUUAGUCUGUGAUGGAAAAUUUCGGUGUAUGUAUGCAUCAGGGGUUCCUUUUGGGAAGUUAUUUGUAUGGUAGACUCUAUUGCAUGCUACUGUAAAGUAGAUUCAGGCCUGAAAACAGUGGUCGGGCCAAGGAAAUUAGUUUCAGGAUCGAAGAUAUCUAUCCAACCUGACAUAAACCCGAAUGCACAUAGGAACUAAAACUUGCACAAAGAGAAGACUAGAGUUCAACCUCCUCUGCUACCUGGUCUUCUCGAUGAUCCUGCUACCGCGUGUUUGCGCUUGGUUUGCAAGAGAUGGUAUCGCCUUCUGUCUGCAAAUUUCUUUUAUUCACUCAGGAAAAGUAUCAGAGUGGAAGAAGAAUGGGUUUAUGUCAUCAAAAGAGACUGUGAAGGGAAAUUUUCAACAGCACAAACACAACCACUUCGUUUGGAACUCUGUCAUUCGUGGCCAUUCUUUGAGCCCUUCUCUCUUAUCCUCAUGUGAACUCAACUUCUAUGUCUUCUACUCUGAGAUAAUGAACUCUCCUGAAAGGCAAGUUACUUAUACUCUAUACUAUGUAUAGACAUUUAGGCUUAAAUGUGCUAUCUUUGAAAGUGUGUUUGGCUCAUGAGUUCAUAUUUAAUUGAAACUUGAAACUAAUGUACCUUUUCUCCCUCUAAAAGUUUCCAACUAUUUAAGAUGUCAAAUGCUUGCAUAUAUAUGUGCUGAAUUCAUUUGAUGCUACUGGCCUGGCAUCAAUAAUUUUGCUUGAAAAGUUAUUUAUUCAUUCUUCUGAGCUAAUAUUCCAAGUUUUGUCUAGAUUACAUCAACAGAGAGAGACUAAUGUUGUUUGGUAUCUGGACUGUCUAGAGUUGUUCAAUGCAAUUAAGGGGAAAGGUCAUAUCAUAUAUUUUAUCAGUUAUGCGCUGGUGCACCACCAUCUCUUCGGGGUAUUUACAGGCUUGUACCCAACUAUUUCACUUUUGUUAAUAUUUUGACGCAUGAGAUUAUCUUGUACAGACAUUGCAUGAACCAAUUGGUGUAGUAGGACAAAUUAUUCCUUGGAAUUUUCCUCUACUUAUGUUUGCUUGGAAAGUUGGACCAGCACUAGCAUGUGGUAAUACCAUUGUCCUGAAGACGUCUGAGCAAACACCGCUAACAGCUCUCAUUGUGGCUAAACUACUUCAUGAGGUUAAAGAAUUGGAGACUUUAAAAAAAGUUGUAAUGAAAUAUGAUACCAAGGCUGGUGCAAUGGAAUAUUUUGAUCCUGAGAAAUACAAAGAUGCUAACUUAUCGGUCCGGGUUAAUGAACAAAUAAUGACCAACUUAUUGCAGUCCCUCCUGGUUGGCCUAUCGAUAAUAAGCAUCUUUGUUAUCAAGAAGAUACCAAAUUCAGUCUUAAGGGGUUAUUUUGCUUACAUGGCAAUUGAUAGUCUUCCAGGGAAUCAGUUUUGGGAAAGGUUAUUGCUCCUCUUCAUCGCCCCAAGCCGAUGUUACAAAAUUUUGCAGAAUCACACGCCUCAUUCAUGGAGACAGCACCAUUUAAAACCAUAGCUGGAUUUACAGCCUUACAGUUCGCAUAUUUUCUGUUCUGUUUCGGGGUCACAUGGAAUUUUGUUUCCGCUAUCGUUCUUCCUUCUCAUAGUUCUAAGAGAACAUGUUCUACCAAACAUAUUCAAUCCUUACGAUCUUCAGGAACUACAUGCUUCUGAAUAUGAGGAAGUUAUCAAUGCUCCACGUGGAGUACGUAGUAUGUCACUAAAGCAAGGCUGUUCGAGAAGCGAUAUGUUUUCUGAUGGAUCCAGUAGUCGAUAGAGAUCUUUGUUAUGUGCAGUGAUCGAUAUGCCAAUCUCAACACAGUUUUCUUUGAUGUUAACAUGAAAGGACUUGAUGGAAUUCAAGGACCUGUAUAUAUGGGGACUGGAUGUGUUUUCAACCGACAAGCGCUUUACGGAUACAGUCCACCUUCUAUGCCAAAUUUACCAAAAUCCUCAUCAUCAUGUUGUUGCUGCCCUUCAAAGAAGCCUACUAAAGAUGCCUCGGAGCUUUGUAAAGAUGCAAAAAGGGAAGAGCUUGAUGCUGCCAUUUUUAAUCUUAGGGAGAUUGAGAGUAAAAUUUUGUUCAAUGGUCUAUAAUUGUACUUAUGAGUUUCUACAAAUUGCUGUCAUCAUGGUUGUGCCAAAUUCACUAUAAUUUUUGUUGUUGAAGAUUUUGGAGAAAUGGAGUUAAUUGUCAAUUGAUACAGCACUACUGGCUCCUUAAAACAUCUUAUUUAUUUUUCUUAGCUCA
Molecule: long non-coding RNA, 2711 nt
Organism: Vicia villosa (hairy vetch)
Lineage: Eukaryota; Viridiplantae; Streptophyta; Magnoliopsida; Fabales; Fabaceae
Exons: 6
Source: RefSeq, a predicted model, not a curated record